GAUGAACGCUGGCUACAGGCUUAACACAUGCAAGUCGAGGGGAAACGACGGGGAAGCUUGCUUCCCCGGGCGUCGACCGGCGCACGGGUGAGUAACGCGUAUCCAACCUGCCUCUGACUGAGGGAUAACCCGUCGAAAGUCGGCCUAAUACCUCAUGGCAUCGUCUGCGGGCAUCCAACGACGAUUAAAGAUUUCAUCGGUCAGGGAUGGGGAUGCGUCUGAUUAGCUUGUUGGCGGGGUAACGGCCCACCAAGGCUACGAUCAGUAGGGGUUCUGAGAGGAAGGUCCCCCACAUUGGAACUGAGACCCGGCCAAAACUCCUACGGGAGGAAGCAGUAGGGAAUAUUGGUCAAGGGGCGGGAGCCUGAACCAGCCAAGUAGCGUGCAGGAUGACGGCCUUAUGGGUUGUAAACUGCUUUUAUGCGGGGAUAAAGUGAGGGACGUGUCCUUCAUUGCAGGUACCGCAUGAAUAAGGACCGGCUAAUUCCGUG
Molecule: ribosomal RNA, 491 nt
Filed under: uncultured bacterium
Lineage: Bacteria
Description: partial 16S ribosomal RNA
Rfam family: Bacterial small subunit ribosomal RNA
Source: RNAcentral